UACCUUUGCAGAGAGUGUCUUAGUGCUGGGCAAGUGAGCACUUGCUUGGUGUGCACAAGGCCGUGGGUUCUCUCCCAGCACUGAAGGAGAGAAGGCUGCUGAUCCAGCUCAGUUGCUAGUGUUCCUUAGCUUGCUCAAAGCCCUGGAUCGAAUCCCCAGUGGCCCUUAAACAGGACAUGGUGGCACACAUCUAUAAUCCUACCCAAGUGCUGAGGUUACAGGCAUGGAGCAGCACACCAGGCUUAUGAUUAUCGUGCCAACCUGGGGAGGAGCUUCCUACUCCGGAGCCACUCCCGGGGAGUCAGUACUGUAGAUGUGACCAAAUGCAAAUAUGUGUGAAGUCAUGGCGUCGCCAUCCUCAAGACACAGAGGAGACAGAGGCCUCACACAUACCGGGCAAGAUCUACCCUACCAAGCCACACCCCUAGUCUUCAUAUUCACUUUUUAUGCUUUGUCCAACCCACUCCAAG
Non-coding RNA from Peromyscus maniculatus bairdii (prairie deer mouse), 470 nucleotides. Lineage: Eukaryota; Metazoa; Chordata; Mammalia; Rodentia; Cricetidae. The record is from RefSeq and is a predicted model, not a curated record.